RNAcentral lists this ribosomal RNA (1378 nucleotides) under Staphylococcus epidermidis. RNAcentral's name for it is "partial 23S ribosomal RNA". It matches the Rfam family "Bacterial large subunit ribosomal RNA", at positions 1545 to 2925 of the family's 2925-position model. Lineage: Bacteria; Bacillati; Bacillota; Bacilli; Caryophanales; Staphylococcaceae. The record is from RNAcentral.
CACUCAUAAGGCUGAGCUGUGAUGGGGAGAGGAAAUUGUUUCCUCGAGUCGUUGAUUUCACACUGCCGAGAAAAGCCUCUAGAUAGAUAACAGGUGCCCGUACCGCAAACCGACACAGGUAGUCAAGAUGAGAAUUCUAAGGUGAGCGAGCGAACUCUCGUUAAGGAACUCGGCAAAAUGACCCCGUAACUUCGGGAGAAGGGGUGCUCUUUAGGGUUCACGCCCAGAAGAGCCGCAGUGAAUAGGCCCAAGCGACUGUUUAUCAAAAACACAGGUCUCUGCUAAACCGUAAGGUGAUGUAUAGGGGCUGACGCCUGCCCGGUGCUGGAAGGUUAAGAGGAGUGGUUAGCUUCUGCGAAGCUACGAAUCGAAGCCCCAGUAAACGGCGGCCGUAACUAUAACGGUCCUAAGGUAGCGAAAUUCCUUGUCGGGUAAGUUCCGACCCGCACGAAAGGCGUAACGAUUUGGGCACUGUCUCAACGAGAGACUCGGUGAAAUCAUAGUACCUGUGAAGAUGCAGGUUACCCGCGACAGGACGGAAAGACCCCGUGGAGCUUUACUGUAGCCUGAUAUUGAAAUUCGGCACAGCUUGUACAGGAUAGGUAGGAGCCUUUGAAACGUGAGCGCUAGCUUACGUGGAGGCGUUGGUGGGAUACUACCCUAGCUGUGUUGGCUUUCUAACCCGCACCACUUAUCGUGGUGGGAGACAGUGUCAGGCGGGCAGUUUGACUGGGGCGGUCGCCUCCUAAAAGGUAACGGAGGCGCUCAAAGGUUCCCUCAGAAUGGUUGGAAAUCAUUCAUAGAGUGUAAAGGCAUAAGGGAGCUUGACUGCGAGACCUACAAGUCGAGCAGGGUCGAAAGACGGACUUAGUGAUCCGGUGGUUCCGCAUGGAAGGGCCAUCGCUCAACGGAUAAAAGCUACCCCGGGGAUAACAGGCUUAUCUCCCCCAAGAGUUCACAUCGACGGGGAGGUUUGGCACCUCGAUGUCGGCUCAUCGCAUCCUGGGGCUGUAGUCGGUCCCAAGGGUUGGGCUGUUCGCCCAUUAAAGCGGUACGCGAGCUGGGUUCAGAACGUCGUGAGACAGUUCGGUCCCUAUCCGUCGUGGGCGUAGGAAAUUUGAGAGGAGCUGUCCUUAGUACGAGAGGACCGGGAUGGACAUACCUCUGGUGUACCAGUUGUCGUGCCAACGGCAUAGCUGGGUAGCUAUGUAUGGACGGGAUAAGUGCUGAAAGCAUCUAAGCAUGAAGCCCCCCUCAAGAUGAGAUUUCCCAACUUCGGUUAUAAGAUCCCUCGAAGAUGACGAGGUUAAUAGGUUCGAGGUGGAAGCGUGGUGACACGUGGAGCUGACGAAUACUAAUCGAUCGAAGACUUAAUCAA